CUACGGGGCGCUCCAGUGAGGAAUAUUGCACAAUGGAGGAAACUCUGAUGUAGCAACGCCGCGUGGAGGAUGACGCAUUUCGGUGUGUAAACUCCUUUUAUAUGUCAAGAAAAUGACGGUAGCAUAUGAAUAAGCACCGGCUAACUCCGUGCCAGCAGCCGCGGUAAUACGGAGGGUGCAAGCGUUACUCGGAAUCACUGGGCGUAAAGGGCGCGUAGGCGGGAUAUCAAGUCAGGUGUGAAAUCCUACAGCUUAACUGUAGAACUGCACUUGAAACUGGUAACCUAGAGUAUGGGAGGGGGAGAUGGAAUUAGUGGUGUAGGGGUAAGAUCCGUAGAUAUCACUAGGAAUACCUAAAGCGAAGGCGAUCUCCUGGAACAUAACUGACGCUAAGGCGUGAAAGCGUGGGGAGCAAACAGGAUUAGAUACCCGCGUAGUC
Molecule: ribosomal RNA, 439 nt
Filed under: uncultured bacterium
Lineage: Bacteria
Description: partial 16S ribosomal RNA
Rfam family: Bacterial small subunit ribosomal RNA
Source: RNAcentral